UACGAAGGGGGCUAGCGUUGCUCGGAAUUACUGGGCGUAAAGCGCGUGUAGGCGGCCAGGCAAGUUGGGUGUGAAAGCCCUCGGCUUAACCGAGGAAGUGCGCCCAAAACUACUUGGCUUGAGUACCGGAGAGGGUGGCGGAAUUCCCGGUGUAGAGGUGAAAUUCGUAGAUAUCGGGAGGAACACCAGUGGCGAAGGCGGCUUACUGGACAGGUCCGUGACACUGAGACGCGAAAGCGUGGGUAGCAAACAGG
This 254-nucleotide ribosomal RNA is filed under the name uncultured bacterium. RNAcentral's name for it is "partial 16S ribosomal RNA". It matches the Rfam family "Bacterial small subunit ribosomal RNA", at positions 524 to 776 of the family's 1533-position model. The record is from RNAcentral.